UGGGGGGGGGGCUACCAUGCAGUCGAGCGAGGUCCAUCCAGUGGCAACACUGGGGAAGACCUAGCGGCGAACGGGUGAGUAACACGUGAGGAACUUGCCCCGGAGUACGGGAUAACUCGAGGAAACUCGAGCUAAUACCGUAUGCCCUCUUCUGGUCGCAUGGCCGGAUGAGGAAAGAUUUAUCGCUCCGGGAGAGCCUCGCGGCCUAUCAGCUAGUUGGUGGGGUAACGGCCCACCAAGGCAUCGACGGGUAGCUGGUCUGAGAGGACGAUCAGCCACACUGGGACUGAGACACGGCCCAGACUCCUACGGGAGGCAGCAGUGGGGAAUCUUGCGCAAUGGGCGAAAGCCUGACGCAGCAACGCCGCGUGCGGGAUGAAGGCCUUCGGGUUGUAAACCGCUUUCAGCAGGGAAGAAAUUGACGGUACCUGCAGAAGAAGCCCCGGCCAACUACGUGCCAGCAGCCGCGGUAACACGUAGGGGGCGAGCGUUGUCCGGAUUUAUUGGGCGUAAAGAGCUCGUAGGCGGUUCGCUAAGUCGGGUGUGAAACCUCCAGGCUCAACCUGGAGACGCCACCUGAUACUGGUGUGACUAGAGUCCGGUAGGGGAGUGUGGAACUCCUGGUGUAGCGGUGAAAUGCGCAGAUAUCAGGAAGAACACCAGCGGCGAAGGCGGCACUCUGGGCCGGUACUGACGCUGAGGAGCGAAAGCGUGGGUAGCACACAGGAUUAGAUACCCUGGUAGUCCACGCCGUAAACGUUGGGCACUAGGUGUGGGUUCCAACCAACGGAAUCCGUGCCGCAGCUAACGCAUUAAGUGCCCCGCCUGGGGAGUACGGCCGCAAGGCUAAAACUCAAAGGAAUUGACAA
RNAcentral lists this ribosomal RNA (869 nucleotides) under uncultured Actinomycetes bacterium. RNAcentral's name for it is "bacterial SSU rRNA". It matches the Rfam family "Bacterial small subunit ribosomal RNA", at positions 37 to 916 of the family's 1533-position model. The record is from RNAcentral. Lineage: Bacteria; Bacillati; Actinomycetota; Actinomycetes.